Ribosomal RNA from Danio rerio (zebrafish), 115 nucleotides. Lineage: Eukaryota; Metazoa; Chordata; Actinopteri; Cypriniformes; Danionidae. The record is from Ensembl.
UGCAGCAGCUAGCUCUCUGCAAAUCUUACAUGGUCAUCCACUGAAGCCAAGCAGGGCUGCACCUGGUCAGUACCUGGAUGGGAGACCACAUGGGAAAGCUUGGUUGCUGCUGAAA